CUCUACGGCCACGCCACCCUGAACAAGCCCCAUCCCAUCUGAUCUCAGAAGCUAAGCAGGGUUGGGCCUGGUUAGUACUUGGAUGGGAGACCACCUAGGAAGACCAGGUGCUGUAGGCA
Molecule: ribosomal RNA, 119 nt
Filed under: Pteropus alecto (black flying fox)
Lineage: Eukaryota; Metazoa; Chordata; Mammalia; Chiroptera; Pteropodidae
Source: RNAcentral